GCGCGCUCUCUUCUUCAAUCUUAUUCCUGCUGUUCUUCACAGGUUGGAGUCCUCUUGCUCUUCAGACAUUUGCGGGACAUAAGCGGAUUCUGCCGGCGCCUUCGUGGCAGCGGCAGAAGGGGGGGUUCAUCGGGGUGAUGGCGGGACGAUUUUAAUUGGGUCCUGCUCGGCAACUAUUUUUUUUCAAAAAGUGUAAAUUUUUGAGUAUAUAGGUACCACAGUGUGUAAAAAAGGGACAAAUAGUGUAAAGUCGAUCAAGGUGGCGUAGGUUUCAUAUUGACAUUUUUGUUUCUCAAAAAUUCCUGUUGGACAAGAAAGUGAAGUGCGCGCAUUUUCAAGGGGCGCAUGUUUAACGCAUCGCAUUUAUAAAGGGCGAAGUAAUCGUUACCCAGUUUCUGUAUAUUACGAAAUGCCUUCCCCUUGUGAUUCGUGUCCAGACACGUGCGGCGACGAUAAGGGAACGUGCGGAUCUAAUUGCACUUGCGGUGCGGAUUGCAAAUGCGGAAAAGACUCAGGAAAUAACUGUGGCUGCAAGUCGGGCGGAGAUGCUCAAAGUGAAGCUAAGGAGUAAUGUUACGGAAAUUAAGAUGUACUUGAUUUGAUUAAAUAAAAAUUAACUUCCUCUGCA
Long non-coding RNA from Photinus pyralis (common eastern firefly), 628 nucleotides. RefSeq lists it as uncharacterized. The transcript has 3 exons. Lineage: Eukaryota; Metazoa; Arthropoda; Insecta; Coleoptera; Lampyridae. The record is from RefSeq and is a predicted model, not a curated record.